CAAUGUUUAGCAACAUACCGCUAAAUGAAUAUUUUGAGGCGGUUUCAGUAACCGCCGCUAUUUAAGUGUUUAAAAAAAAUUCCGACUCUAAAAGCCUGGCAAGUCACAACUCUCCGCCAGUCUGCCGUUCUCCAAUUCAAUCCUUAACACUUUUUUCUUCCAUAACCUUAUUUAGACAUGAGACAUUGAAUCCCUAAAAAUCUAAAAUCCCUAGCUGCUCGCUUGCAAUUUCCAGUUCCACUCUCCGCUAGUUCGUUGCACUGCGACUGCCCGUGUGAUUUUCAGUCUCUGGUCUCCGCCUCCGCCCUCCGUUGCGACAGCGCCGGCGAGGCGUCGAGAAGUCGAGAACUCCGCCUCUGGACGAAGGGGACGAAGGGGGGUGUUUCUAGUUUUCUGAGAGGUUACCAGUGAUAAGCUGCUUCGAUUCAUUUCCGGUCAUUUCUGAAUUCCGAUGAACUGUCAAGGAAUUCUGCCGGCGGCCUGAUAACUGUUUUCACUUCUUCACUGAUUUUCCUUGACAAUCACAUCUAACGCUGUCGUCAAUCACUCUGUCACCGGGCACCAUCGUCAAGUAUUCUGUCGCCAAUAUAUCCAUGUACUGUUCUUAUUUUAUUUGCCCUUGUUAAUUAUUUUUGUGUCAAUAGGAAAAUAGUUUGGCUGUGGUGUGUAAUAAAUGUUUUGGUUUGGAAAUUCCUGUGUUUGUUUCUUUAUGCUUCAUGAACUUAGUAUGUUUCUUUAUUGUCCAUGAAUUUGUUGGAAGAACUUUCUAGUUGCACAUACUGAUUUAGAGUUACAUUUAAUUUCUUGGAAGGGAAUUAUAUUUUGUGUUUUCAAAAUUUUCCUAAAAUCUAAUCACAUUUAGGGUUUGUAUCUUUAUUUAUCUUGAAUAAAAUGUGACCUUUUUUUUAAUCUCUUGAACUAAGAAGGAUAAAACUAGUUAAAAGAUAAUGAAGACUGAAAUAAUGAAGGUUAAAAUAACUAAGGAUAAAAUGUGACUAUAUUUUUCUUGAACUAAGAAGGAUAACAGAUUAACAGGGGAUAAGAGAAAGAUAAUUAAGUCUAGUUAAGAGAGUGAAGGCUACAAUAAUGAAGGUUAAAAUAACUAAGGAUAAAAUGAAUAUUACUAAGAAAGUGAGCAAGUUCUGUCUCUUAGUAUAUAUUUUUACUAAUUAUUCGUCUCUGAUUACUGUUUUAUAAUCAUCUUUCAUUUAAAGCUAGACCAUACAUGCUUAUAAGUUAUAAGAUAAUGUGGACCUUUUUACAUUAAUAUUUCCUCAUGUCUUUGGAAUCAUUUUAAUUUUAAGAAUAUUUAGACAUGCAUAAAUUGUGGACCUUCUUGAGUUUGGUAGUUUUGAGAAACUGUUUUUCAGAUUAUUUUGGUUUAUUACUUUUUAUUAAUGGAAUAGUUUUGACAUAGAGCAACCAUAUAUUGAAGCAUGCAAGGCUGCUGAUCAAUCUGCCAAGAUAUAUAAGCUAGCAUGAUAUCAAUCUAUCAAUGUGGUAAACGGCCAUCGUCAACCUACACAUCAAAAGAUAGUAAGAUAAUGUAUGUCUUUCAGUUCACAAUUUUGAACCAAAGGGAGGAUGGAAGCCCCAGAGAAGAGAAAUUGAGUGAUGACUAAAUUCAUUCUCAAGUUCCAAUGGUUAAGUGAAUUUCUUUUGAAAAGAUUUGGUUGGAAUCUGAAUGAUGCUUGAGAAAAUUGUCAAUUCUUCGUGGACUCUGUCACAAGGUUGGGAUAGAGUUGGUUUCCAGAGAUUAUGACGUGGAAAGUUCAAAUCCAUUUUGUGAAACUGAUGUCAUCAGUUUAGUGCCUUAAUUUGUGUAAAGUAAGGUUUCUUUCACUUAGCUUAUAAUUUUGUUUAAUCAGUUUAGCUUAUAAAAUUCUUUGAUAUUCUGCUGGCAUUAGUAUUUUUAAGUAGUGAAAACAGAAGAAUAUUGUUCAUCAAAAUGAUCUUCACAGCAUGUUGUAUGCUCUUUUGCUUAUGGUCGAACCUUACUGGAGUCCUCUAAGAUUGCUCUUGACAAAAGAUUGCUCUUGACAAAGGGAAGCUGGAAGAUGCCUUGAAUUUUGUAACAAUGGUAUAUAAGAUUGUUUUUCAAUUUUCAUGAAUUAUUAACUCUUAUAUAGUUGCAUAGAUUAAAAAAAAAAUUGACUAUAUAUGAUUUGAUUUUGAACUGAA
This is a long non-coding RNA of Ipomoea nil (Japanese morning glory), 2181 nucleotides long. RefSeq lists it as uncharacterized. The transcript has 4 exons. Lineage: Eukaryota; Viridiplantae; Streptophyta; Magnoliopsida; Solanales; Convolvulaceae. The record is from RefSeq and is a predicted model, not a curated record.